This 1299-nucleotide ribosomal RNA is filed under the name Niphonyx segregata. RNAcentral describes it as "16S ribosomal RNA". The stretch from base 1040 to 1199 matches the Rfam family "Eukaryotic large subunit ribosomal RNA", at positions 2825 to 2984 of the family's 3401-position model. The record is from RNAcentral. Lineage: Eukaryota; Metazoa; Arthropoda; Insecta; Lepidoptera; Noctuidae.
AAAAAAUUUUUAAAAUAUUUAAUGGGGGUUAAAGUAUUUUUAAAAAAAAAAUUUUUAUAUUUAUAGUAAAUUAGUAUUGUGAAAGAAUUUUGAAAUAAUUUAAAUAUUAAUUAAUAAUAAAGUAAUUUUUAUUUAGUGUAUCUUGUGUAUCAGAGUUUAUUAAUAAAAUUUUUUAGUUUAAAAAAUUCUCGAAUUUAAAAGAGAUAAUUAAUUAAUAAAGUUAUUGUAGCAUAAAUAUUUUAAAUAAUUAAUUUGAAAUGAAAUGUUAAUCGUUUUUAAAUAUAUCUAGUUUUUUUAGAAAAAAAUUUAAUUUUAAAUUACUUAAAAAAAAAAUUAAUUAAUUAAUUUUUUUUUUAAGUAAUUUUAUAUUUUAAGGGAUAAUCUUUAAUUUAAAUUUAUAUAAUGAAAAAAUUUUUUUUUGAAAUUUAUAUAAUUUAUAUUGUUAAAAAAUUAUAAUUUAUUAUAAAUAAUUUCAUUAAAAAUAAGAUUUAAUUUAAAUUUAUAUUUUUAUAAAAAAAAAUUUUUUAAUUUUUUAAUAAUUGUUAUAAUGAUAAAAUUAGUAUAUAAAAUUAUUUAAAAUAUAUUUUUUAAGUAAAUUAAUUUAAAGGAAUUCGGCAAAUUAUUAUGUUCACUUGUUUAUCAAAAACAUGUCUUUUUGAAUUUAAUAUAAAGUCUAGUCUGCCCACUGAUUUUUAAUUAAAGGGCUGCAGUAUUUUGACUGUACAAAGGUAGCAUAAUCAAUAGUCAUUUAAUUGAUGACUUGUAUGAAAGAUUGGAUGAAAUAUAUACUGUCUCUGAAUUAAAUUAUAAAAAUUAAUUUUUUAGUUAAAAAGCUAAAAUAAUAUAAAAAGACGAGAAGACCCUAUAGAGUUUUAUAUAUAAUUAUAAUUAAGAUUAUUUAUAAAAUUAAAAAUUAAAAUUAUUUUAUAUAUUUUGUUGGGGUGACAGAAAAAUAUAAUAAACUUUUUUAUAUAUUAUAAACAUAAAUAAGUGAAUAAAUGAUCCAGUUUUAUUGAUUAUUAGAAAAAAUUACCUUAGGGAUAACAGCGUAAUUUUUUUUUUUAGUUCAUAUAAAAAAAAGAGUUUGCGACCUCGAUGUUGGAUUAAGAUAAAAUUUAAAUGCAGAAGUUUAAAAUUUUUGAUCUGUUCGAUCAUUAAAAUCUUACAUGAUCUGAGUUCAAACCGGUGUAAGCCAGGUUGGUUUCUAUCUUUUAUAAGAAAAAAUAUUUUAGUACGAAAGGAUUAAAUAUUUAAAUUAAAUUUAGUUAUUGAAUAUUAUUAAAAAAAUUUUAUAAAAAU